This 371-nucleotide long non-coding RNA is filed under the name Salvia miltiorrhiza (redroot sage). RNAcentral describes it as "long non-coding RNA (SMIL_LNC004136)". Lineage: Eukaryota; Viridiplantae; Streptophyta; Magnoliopsida; Lamiales; Lamiaceae. The record is from RNAcentral.
UACUUUUAUUUGAUUUUCUCAAGUUAGCAUACAAGUUGAAGUUCAAGUUCAAAAUUCAGGUGUGGGAUUUAUUUCAGUACAUGCCCGUGGUUAAUUCUUGUCCAUUUUAAUAUCAUGUGUUUACCAUAUGUGAGUUGCAUUAAAUUAUAUCGCUAGGGGCCCGCUCAAUGGGUCCAGGACAUUAAAGUCCUUGGUAUGCCACAAUGCGAUUUCAUGUUAAAGUUAUGGUUGCAACCAGUCGCCAGGGGCCGGCUCAAUCGGUCCAGGACGGAAAGGUCCUUGGUAUGCCACCGUGCGACUUUCAGUUACGAAUGUAUUGAUCAUAUGUGAUUCUCAUUUUAUUAAUGUGGACAAUAAUUGCAUGUUUCCCA